UGCACUCUGGGACAAGCCCUGGAAACGGGGUCUAAUACCGGAUACGACCACUGAGCGCAUGCUUGGUGGUGGAAAGCUCCGGCGGUGCAGGAUGAGCCCGCGGCCUAUCAGCUUGUUGGUGGGGUGAUGGCCUACCAAGGCGACGACGGGUAGCCGGCCUGAGAGGGCGACCGGCCACACUGGGACUGAGACACGGCCCAGACUCCUACGGGAGGCAGCAGUGGGGAAUAUUGCACAAUGGGCGAAAGCCUGAUGCAGCGACGCCGCGUGAGGGAUGACGGCCUUCGGGUUGUAAACCUCUUUCAGCAGGGAAGAAGCGAAAGUGACGGUACCUGCAGAAGAAGCGCCGGCUAACUACGUGCCAGCAGCCGCGGUAAUACGUAGGGCGCAAGCGUUGUCCGGAAUUAUUGGGCGUAAAGAGCUCGUAGGCGGCUUGUCGCGUCGGAUGUGAAAGCCCGGGGCUUAACCCCGGGUCUGCAUUCGAUACGGGCAGGCUAGAGUUCGGUAGGGGAGAUCGGAAUUCCUGGUGUAGCGGUGAAAUGCGCAGAUAUCAGGAGGAACACCGGUGGCGAAGGCGGAUCUCUGGGCCGAUACUGACGCUGAGGAGCGAAAGCGUGGGGAGCGAACAGGAUUAGAUACCCUGGUAGUCCACGCCGUAAACGUUGGGAACUAGGUGUGGGCGACAUUCCACGUCGUCCGUGCCGCACUAACGCAUUAAGUUCCCCGCCUGGGGAGUACGGCCGCAAGGC
Molecule: ribosomal RNA, 749 nt
Filed under: uncultured Streptomyces sp.
Lineage: Bacteria; Bacillati; Actinomycetota; Actinomycetes; Kitasatosporales; Streptomycetaceae
Description: bacterial SSU rRNA
Rfam family: Bacterial small subunit ribosomal RNA
Source: RNAcentral